ACUCAAAGGAAUUGACGGGGGCCCGCACAAGCGGUGGAGCAUGUUGUUCAAUUCGACGCAACGCGAAGAACCUUACCUGGGUUAAAUCCACCGGAAGUCCGCAGAGAUGUGGAUGUGCCCUUCGGGGAACCGGUGAGAAGGUGCUGCAUGGCUGUCGUCAGCUCGUGUCGUGAGAUGUUGGGUUAAGUCCCGCAACGAGCGCAACCCUUGUCGUUAGUUGGUACCAGUUCAGCUGACCACUCUAACGAGACUGCCGGCGUCAAGCCGGAGGAAGGUGGGGACGACGUCAAGUCCUCAUGGCCCUUAUGCCCAGGGCUACAAACGUGCUACAAUGGCCGGUACAAAGCGCAGCUAACCCGCGAGGGGGCGCCAAUCGCAAAAAACCGGUCUCAGUUCGGAUUGGAGUCUGCAACUCGACUCCAUGAAGUUGGAAUCGCUAGUAAUCGCUGAUCAGCAGGCAGCGGUGAAUACGUUCCCGGGCCUUGUACACACCGCCCGU
This 499-nucleotide ribosomal RNA is filed under the name uncultured bacterium. RNAcentral's name for it is "partial 16S ribosomal RNA". It matches the Rfam family "Bacterial small subunit ribosomal RNA", at positions 899 to 1397 of the family's 1533-position model. The record is from RNAcentral.